CAGCACCUCAAGUGGUCAGGAUGAUUAUUGGGCCUAAAGCAUCCGUAGCCGGCGCUGUAAGUUUUCGGUUAAAUCUGUACGCUCAACGUACAGGCUGCCGGGAAUACUGCAGCGCUAGGGAGUGGGAGAGGUAGACGGUACUCGGUAGGAAGGGGUAAAAUCCUUUGAUCUAUUGAUGACCACCUGUGGCGCAGGCGGUCUACCAGAACACGUCCGACGGUGAGGGAUGAAAGCUGGGGGAGCAAACCGGAUUAGAUACCCGAGUAGUCC
RNAcentral lists this ribosomal RNA (270 nucleotides) under uncultured archaeon. RNAcentral's name for it is "partial 16S ribosomal RNA". It matches the Rfam family "Archaeal small subunit ribosomal RNA", at positions 477 to 747 of the family's 1478-position model. The record is from RNAcentral.